CGGGACGUAGCGCAGCCUGGUAGCGCACCUGCCUUGGGCGCAGGGGGUCGGAGGUUCGAAUCCUCUCGUCCCGA
Molecule: transfer RNA, 74 nt
Filed under: Aggregicoccus sp.
Lineage: Bacteria; Pseudomonadati; Myxococcota; Myxococcia; Myxococcales; Myxococcaceae
Also listed under: 4 other names
Description: tRNA-Pro
Rfam family: tRNA
About the family: Transfer RNA (tRNA) molecules are approximately 80 nucleotides in length.
Source: RNAcentral